RNAcentral lists this non-coding RNA (126 nucleotides) under Microcebus murinus (gray mouse lemur). Lineage: Eukaryota; Metazoa; Chordata; Mammalia; Primates; Cheirogaleidae. The record is from RNAcentral.
GUGUUGUGUGAAAGGAGGGGGGUUAGCACUCCAUUCGAUAAGGCUGGAAGGGGCCCUCAGGUCCCCAGGGCACACAUGUGGUUAAGGCAUUGCCACCUAUUUUGUGGCAUCUAACUGUGGUUUUUC